RNAcentral lists this ribosomal RNA (301 nucleotides) under uncultured bacterium. RNAcentral describes it as "partial 16S ribosomal RNA". It matches the Rfam family "Bacterial small subunit ribosomal RNA", at positions 509 to 807 of the family's 1533-position model. The record is from RNAcentral.
CAGCCGCCACGGUAAUACGGAGGGUGCAAGCGUUAAUCGGAAUUACUGGGCGUAAAGCGCACGCAGGCGGUUUGUUAAGUCAGAUGUGAAGUCCCCGAGCUUAACUUGGGAACUGCAUUUGAAACUGGCAAGCUGGAGUCUUGUAGAGGGGGGUAGAAUUCCAGGUGUAGCGGUGAAAUGCGUAGAGAUCUGGAGGAAUACCGGUGGCGAAGGCGGCCCCCUGGACAAAGACUGACGCUCAGGUGCGAAAGCGUGGGGAGCAAACAGGAUUAGAUACCCCUGUAGUCCCUGUCUCUUAUAC